AGCAACCAGCGAGAUUCGAACUCGCGACCCUGGUUUACGAGACCAGUGCUCUAACCUCUGAGCUAUGGUGGC
RNAcentral lists this transfer RNA (72 nucleotides) under Araneus ventricosus. RNAcentral describes it as "tRNA-Thr". Lineage: Eukaryota; Metazoa; Arthropoda; Arachnida; Araneae; Araneidae. The record is from RNAcentral.